This 567-nucleotide ribosomal RNA is filed under the name Zygoascus bituminiphila. RNAcentral describes it as "eukaryotic LSU rRNA". It matches the Rfam family "Eukaryotic large subunit ribosomal RNA", at positions 62 to 648 of the family's 3401-position model. The record is from RNAcentral. Lineage: Eukaryota; Fungi; Ascomycota; Dipodascomycetes; Dipodascales; Trichomonascaceae.
AAACCAACAGGGAUUGCCUUAGUAGCGGCGAGUGAAGCGGCAAAAGCUCAAAUUUGAAAUCUGGCACUUUCAGUGUCCGAGUUGUAAUUUGUAGAAGCAACUUUGGAUUUGGUCCUUGCAUAAGUUCCUUGGAAUAGGACGUCAUAGAGGGUGAGAAUCCCGUUUAUGGUGAGGAUACCAUUUCUUUGUAAAGUGCUUUCGAAGAGUCGAGUUGUUUGGGAAUGCAGCUCUAAGUGGGUGGUAAAUUCCAUCUAAAGCUAAAUAUUGGCGAGAGACCGAUAGCGAACAAGUACUGUGAAGGAAAGAUGAAAAGAACUUUGAAAAGAGAGUGAAAAAGUACGUGAAAUUGUUGAAAGGGAAGGGCUUGAAAUCAGACUUGGUAUUCAGUGAUCAAUUACCUUUCGGGGUGGUGCACUCGCUGUUUACUGGGCCAGCAUCGGUUUGAGCGGUAGGAUAAUGACUUAGGAAUGUGGCUCCUUGGAGUGUUAUAGCCUUUGUUGAUACUGCCAGUUCGGACCGAGGACCGCGUCUUUUGACUAGGAUGCUGGCGUAAUGAUUUUAAGCCAC